AUUCCAGCUCCAAUAGCGUAUAUUAAAGUUGUUGCCGUUAAAAAGCUCGUAGUUGAGCCUUGGACCUGGCUGAUCUGUCCUCCUAAUCGAGCGCACGGAUUCGGUCGGGUCUUUCCUUCUGGGGAGCCCUAUGCCCUUCACUGGGUGUAGUGGGGAACCAGGACUUUUACCUUGAAAAAAUUAGAGUGUUCAAAGCAGGCCUUUGCUCGAAUACAUUAGCAUGGAAUAAUAGAAUAGGACAUCGGUUCUAUUUUGUUGGUUUCUAGGACCGCUGUAAUGAUUAAUAGGGAUAGUCGGGGGCGUCAGUAUUCAAUUGUCAGAGGUGAAAUUCUUGGAUUUAUUGAAGACUAACUACUGCGAAAGCAUUAGCCAAGGAUGUUUUCAUCG
This 387-nucleotide ribosomal RNA is filed under the name Ramichloridium sp. RNAcentral's name for it is "partial small subunit ribosomal RNA". It matches the Rfam family "Eukaryotic small subunit ribosomal RNA", at positions 582 to 975 of the family's 1831-position model. Lineage: Eukaryota; Fungi; Ascomycota; Dothideomycetes; Mycosphaerellales; Dissoconiaceae. The record is from RNAcentral.